Non-coding RNA from Pelobates cultripes (western spadefoot toad), 490 nucleotides. Lineage: Eukaryota; Metazoa; Chordata; Amphibia; Anura; Pelobatidae. The record is from the annotation of a GenBank genome assembly.
GAUGGGGACACCCCAGCACUUACUACGUAGAGGCCGAGGAUCUCCUGGACAACAGACCAGUGGCGCCGAGACGAAGGGAGGUCCACGCAGAAGUUCAGGGGUGCAGCCGUAGAGAACGUGGGCAAAGAUAGACCAUCUCACGCCUCUGCUUCCUACCCACCGUUAACGACGAGCUUCCCGGCCAAUGCACCAAAGAUGUUACCGGGAAACUGACGGAGGCCAAGCACAGAGAGAUGGACACAGGUUUCUUCAGGAAGGAAGAGAUCUUUAUUCGAUUCACUGACCGGGACUCAGAGGGACUUAUGUCACCAAAAACAGCAAAGAUCUAAGCACUGAAUACAUAGAGUACAUUCCUUAUAUAGCACUGUAGCUCCUCCCAUAAUUAGCUACGCCCACACAUACCCUUAACCUAAUCAAUGAAUAGAGUCUAAACUCAUCCAUCCGGUCUAACCACGUGGCUCAUCUGAAACAAAGGAGAGGGACGCGUAAU